This 1867-nucleotide long non-coding RNA is filed under the name Ananas comosus (pineapple). RNAcentral's name for it is "long non-coding RNA (ACOM_LNC028962)". The record is from RNAcentral. Lineage: Eukaryota; Viridiplantae; Streptophyta; Magnoliopsida; Poales; Bromeliaceae.
GUUGCUCUCUCUCUCUCUCUCUCUUUCCCUUUCUCUCUCUAGGAAAGAAAAGAAAAGAAAGAGAAGAAGGAGAAGAAAGAAAAGAAGGAAAAGAGGAAGAAGUUGAAGGAGAAGUUCAAGAAGAAGAAGAAGAAGGUCUUCUUCUCUCCCUCCUUCAAGCUAAGGCAAGCUUGGAGCUUGGCUUAGAGGUAAGCUUCCACCCCUUUAAUGGUAAUUCUAGGGUUUUGGGUUUUUAGGGUUUAGAAUUGGUUCAAAUGGAACCUAUUAGGGAUAAAUGGAAGGUUCGAGCUCGCAAUUGAAGCUCGCACCGUGGAUUUCCUUCCCGUUGCCAUUUUAGGGCACGGAUUGGGGUUUUGGGAAAUCUAGGGUUUUGAUCUAAUUUGUUGGGUCGCUAACCUAAUUGCUAGGUCUUUGAACGCGUCGGCGAAGACGGUUUGCCGAUCCGACGAGCGGGUGCAGAGUUAUCGCCGAAUCGGGUACUCGAGGGCUCGCUUUGCCCCGAGGAGUUUAGGCGGCGUGCAAGAACCGCAACGUCGAGCUUUCUAUUGUCGCGGCAUCGCCAAGAGGUGGGUGGUGUCCAUCCCGAAGCAAUCGGGCUCCCUCCUAUGUCUUAGUAUAUUUGAUCUUGCAUCUUGUAUUAUUGCAUUAUAGGAUUUGUAUGCAUUGCCUUUCCUUAUGUUUUUCCUUCAUGGUAUCGUAGUGUGCAUCGGAUAAUUGAUAUAUUGGAUUGAUAAGGAUUGGGUCGAGAUUGUGAAUCCUAUGAUGUAGAGAAAAUGAUGAAGUAUGAACGAGUGGCAUCUAGUUAAUAGUAAACUAUGAAUGAGUGGCAUCUAGUCGAUAGCGGACAAACGGACAAUCUAGUUAAUAGUGUAUGUGACACCUAUGGACUAUAUGAUGAUUGUGACUCUAAAGGAUAGGGUAUCCUCGAGCUUAGAGGAUUGGAUCAUGCUCACGGUCUGUUAAAUCUUGUGAUGGAAGCCCCACACAAGUAGUGCGCUCCGGAUGUUGGUCACGCCAGGGAUUGCCUAUAUGGCCCCGCCAGACGGUCUCGGGUCCGUAGUGUGAGUUGAUUCUCCCUACGCGUCGAGAUGGCUAGUGAGCUGUAGGCGAGCCUUCGGGUAAGCCAUGAGAUUAAUGAACAAGUAAAUGAUGUUAUUGAACGAGCGAAUAGCUUCACCUUUGGACAUGAUGACAGGUUAGUUGCUUACCAAUUCAUUGGACAUGCAUUCAUACAUUUAUGAUUGGGCAUAGUAGAAUAGCUUCAUUUCCGUCAUUUACAGCUCCUUAUCUAUAUAUCUAUCUGUCUAUCCAUCUAUUGGUAUAUCUACUUGUGCCCGCUUGGACCUAGUGGGGAGAUCGGCGGAGUCGGCGGCCGAACCCACUGGGAACUAAGGAAGUUAGUUCUCACCCCCAUUUUUACCACAGGUUCCAGUUCGGGUGUCCCCGGUGAGCGUGAGGAUCGCGGUAAGGGCCCGGCGUUUUAGUAGCAUUAGCUACCUUCCUUUUUGCACUAGCCGUCACCCUUUUAUAUUUGAGAGUAGAUGAUGUAUAGGGUGAGGUUCGAGUGAUUGUAUUUAUAUUUUGGAAGAAUGUAAAAGAUGUAAUUGAAUGUAUUGAGUCAAAUAAAUGUAAUAGAUAGCUCUUCUCUCUUAUGUACUUGUAUAUGUUUCUAUACUUGUAUCUUGCUCUCGUCUUGUUAGCACUUGUUGUGCUCUUGUGAUUGUGUACUUAUGAGUUGAUUCCUGGGUAAACUCUUGUACAUGAUCGUUUGCUUAGCCUUGGGCGGACAGGGGAGACUCUGUCCGUUCGGCGUCUGUUCGACGCGCCCGGGCCCGAACCAAAUUGGUUGCGGUCGCGGGGCGUGACA